GCUUAUUUUUGGCACACGGAGGCGCCUCGCAAAGUCUUGCGCCAUUCCGAGUCCGGCGGACGAAGUGGGCCAGCCCCACCCCCCAAGGCCAUAGCCCACCCGUUUUUGUGGCCUUUUUCCGCUGGACGAACUUGGCGCCCCGGCCUUCGGGCGGUUAUUUUUGGGCGCGGCUUUACCCGCGGCCUAUUUUUGUUACACGGGGGCCCCUCGCAAAGUCUCGCGGCUUUCCGAGUCCGGCGGACGAAGCUGGCCAGCCCAACCCCCCAAGGCUAUAGCCCACCCGUUUUUGUGGCCUUUUUCCGAUGGACGAACUUGGCGCCCCGGCCUUCGGGCGGUUAUUUUUGGUCGCGGCUUUGCCCGCAGCCUAUUUUUGGCACAGGGAGGCCCCUCGUAAUGUCUCCCGGCAUUCCGAGUCCGGCGGACGAAGUUGGAGAGCCCCACACCCCAAGGCUAUAGCCCACCCGUUUUUGUGGACUUUUUCCGGUGGACGAACUUGGCGCCCCGGCCUUCGGGAGGUUAUUUUUGGGCGCGGCUGUGGCCACAGCUUAUUUUUGGCACACAGAGGGGCCUCGCAAAAUCUCACCCCAUUCCAAGUCCGGCGGACGAAGUCGGCCAGCCCCACCCCCGAAGGCUAUAGCCCACCCAUUUUUGCCGGCUUUUUUCGCUGGACGAACUUGGCGCCCCGGCCUUUGGGCGGUUAUUUUUGGGUACGGCUGUGCCUGCAGCCUAUUUUUGGCACACGGAGGCGCCUCGCAAAGUCUCGCGCCAUUCAGAGUCCGGCAGACAAAGUUGGCCAGCCCCACCCCCCAAGUCUAUAGCCCACCCGUUUUUAUGGGCUUGUUUUGCUGGACGACCUUGGCGCCCCGGCCUUCGGUCACUUAUUUUUGGGCGCGGCAGUGCCCACGGCCUAUUUUUGGCACACGGAGGCCCCUCGCAAAGUCUCGCGCCAUUCCGAGUCCGGCGGACGAACUUGGCCAGCCCCACCCCCCAAGGCUAUAGCGCACCCGUUUUUGUGUCCUUUUUCCGCUGGAUGAACUUGAUGCCCCGGCCUUCGGUCACUUAUUUUUGGGCGCGGCAGUGCCCACGGCCUAUUUUUGGCACACGGAGGCCCCUCGUAAAGUCUCACACCAUUCUGAGUCCGGCGGACGAACUUGGUCAGCCCCACCCCGCAAGGCUAUAGCGUACCCAUUUUUGUGGCCUUUUUCCACUGGACGAACUUGAUGCCCCGGCCUUCGGUCACUUAUUUUUGGGCACAGCAGUGCCCACGGCCUAUUUUUGGCACACGGAGGCCCCUCCCAAAGUCUCGCGCCAUUCCGAGUCCGGCGGACGAAGUUGGCCAACCCCACCCCCCAGGGCUAUAGCCCACCCAUUUUUGUGGCCUUUUUCCGCUGGACGAACUUGGCGCCCCGGCCUUCGGGCGGUUAUUUUUGGGCACGGCUGUGUCCACAGCCUAUAUUUGGCACACGGAGGUGCCUCACAAAGUUUCGCGCCAUUCCGAGUCCGGCGGACGAAGUUGGCCAGCCCCACCCCCCAAAGCUAUAGCCCACCCGUUUUUGUGGCCUUUUUCCUCUGGACGAACUUGGCGCCCCGGCCUUCGGGCGGUUAUUUUUGGGUGUGGCUGGGCCCGCGGCCUAUUUUUGGCACAUGGAGGCGCCUCGCAAAGUCUCGCGCCAUUCCGAGUCCGGCGGACGAAUUUGGCCAGCCCCACUCCCCAAGGCUAUAGCCCACCCGUUUUUGCGGCCUUCUUCCGCUGGACGAACUUGGCGCCCCGGCCUUCAGGCGGUUAUUUUUGGGCGCGGCUGUGCCCACGGCCUAUUUUUGGCACACGGAUGCCGCUCGCAAAAUCUCGCGCCAUUCCGAGUCCGGCGGACGAAGUUGGCCAGCCCCACCCCCCAAGGCUAUAGCCCACCCGUUUUUGUGGCCUUUUUCCGCUGGACGAACUUGGCGCCUCGGCCUUCGGGCGGUUAUUAUUGGGUACGGCUGUGCCCGCGGCCUAUUUUUGGCGCACGGAGGCGCCUCGCAAAGUCUCACGCCAUUCCGAGUCCGGCGGACGAUGUUGGCCAGCCCCACCCCCCAAGGUUAUAGCCCACCUGUUUUUGUGGCCUUUUUCUGCUGGACGAACUUGGCGCCCCGGCCUUCGGGCGGUUAUUUUUGGGCGCGGCUGUGCCAGCGGCCUACUUUUGGCACACGGAAGCCGCUCGCAAAGUCUCGCGCCAUUCUGAGUCCGGCAGUCGAAGUUGGCCGGGCCCACCCCCGAAGGCUAUAGCCCACCCGUUUUUGUGGCAUUCUUCCGCUGGACGAACUUGGCGCCCCGGCCUUCGGGCGGUUAUUUUUGGGCGGGGCUGUGCCCGCGGCCUAUUUUUGGCACACGGAGGCCGCUCACAAAGUCUAGCGCCAUUCCGAGUCCGGCGGACGAAUUUGGCCAGCCCUACCCCCCAAGGCUAUAGCCCACCCGUUUUUGUGGCCUUCUUCCGCUGGACGAACUUGCCGCCCCGGACUUCCGGUGGUUAUUUUUGGGCACGGCUGUGCCCGCGGCCUAUUUUUGGCACACGGAGGCCGCUCGCAAAGGUUCGCACCAUUCCAAGUCCGGCGGACAAAGUUGGCCAGCCCCACCCCCCAAGGCUAUAGCCCACCGGUUUUUGUGGCCUUCUUCCGCUGGACGAACUCGGCGCCCCGGCCUUCGGGCGGUUAUUUUUUGGUGCGGCUGUGCCCGCAGCCUAUUUUUGGAAAAUGGAGGCCGCUCGCAAAGUUUUGCGCCAUUCCGAGUCCCGCGGACGAAGUUGGCCAGCCUCACACCCCAAGGCUAUAGCCCACCCGUUUUUGUGGCCUUUUUCCGCUGGACGAACUUGGUGCCCCGGCCUUCGGGUGGUUAUUUUUGGGCGCGGCUCUGCCCGCGGCCUACUUUUGGCACACGGAGGUGCCUCACAAAGUCUCGAACCAUUCCGAGUCCGGCGGAUGAAGUGGGCCAGCCCCACCCCCCAAGGCCAUAGCCCACACGUUUUUGUGGCCUUUUUCCGCUGGACGAACAUGGCGCCCCGGCCUUCGGGCGGUUAUUUUUGGGUGCAGCUGUGCCCGCAGACUAUUUUUGGCACACAGAGGUGCCUCGCAAAGUCUCGCGCCAUUCCGAGUCCGGCGGACGAAGUGGGCCAGCCCCACCCCCCAGGGCCAUAGCCCACACGUUUUUGUGGCCUUUUUCCGCUGGACGAACAUGGUGCCCCGGCCUUCGGGGGGUUUUAUUUUUGGGUACGGCUGUGCCCGCAGCCUAUUUUUGGCACGCGGAGGCACCUCGCAAAGUCUCGCGCCAUUCCGAGUCCAGCGGACGAAGUUGGCCAGCCCCAACCCCCAAGGCUAUAGCCCACCCGUUUUUGUGGCCUUUUUCCGCUGGACGAACUUGGUACCCCGGCCUUCGGGCGGUUAUUUUAGGGUGCGGCUCUGCCCGCGGCCUAUUUUUGGCACACGGAGGCACCUCGCAAAGUCUCGCGCCUUUCCGAGUCCGGCGGACGAAGUGGGCUGCCCCGCCCGCUAAGGCUCUAGCCCACCCGUUUUUGUGCCCUUUUUCCGCUGGACGAAGUUGGCGCCCCGGCCUUCGGGCGGUUAUUUUUGGGCACGGCUGUACCCGCGGCCUAUUUUUGGCACACGGAGGUGCCUCCCAAGGUCUCGCGCCAUUCCGAGUUCGGCGGACGAAGUGAGACAGCCCCACCCCCCAAGGCUAUAGCCCACCCGUUUUUGUGGGCUUUUUCCGCUGGACGAACUUGGCGCCCCGGCCUUCGGGCGGUUAUUUUUGGACACGGCUGUACCCGCGGCCUAUUUUUGGCACACGGAGGUGCCUCCCAAGGUCUCGCGCCAUUCUGAGUCCAGCGGACGAAGUGGGACAGCCCCACCCCCCAAGGCUAUAGCCCACCCGUUUUUGUGGCCUUUUUCCGCUGGACGAACUUGGCGCCCCGGCCUUCGGGCGGCUAUUUUUUGGCGCGGCUGUGCCCGCGGCCUAUUUUUGGCACACGGAGGCAUCUCGCAAAGUCUCACGUCAUUCUGAGUCCGGCGGACGAACUUGGCCAGCCCCACCCCCGAAGGCUAUAGCCCACCCGUUUUUUUGGCCUUUUUCCGCUGGGGGGUUUUGGCGCCGCGGCCUUCGGUCACUUAUUUUUGGGCGAAGCUUUUCCCGCGGCCUAUUUUUGGCACACGGAGGCCCCUCGCAAAGUCUCGCGCCAUUCCGAUUACGGCGGAUGAACUUGGCCAGCCCCACCCCCCAAGGCUAUACCCCACCCGAUUUUUAGGCCUUUUUCCGCUGGGGGGUUUUGACGCCCCGGCCUUUGGCUGCUUAUUUUUGGGUGCGGCUGUGCCCGCAGCCUAUUUUUGGGACACGGCGGCCCCUCACAAAGUCUCGCGCCAUUCCGAGUCCGGCGGACGAACUUGGCCAGCGCAGCCCCCCAAGGCUUUAACCCACCCGUUUUUCUGGCCUUUUUCCGCAGGGGGGUUCGGCGCCCCGGCCUUCGGUCGCUUAUUUUUGGACUCGGCUGUGCCCGCGGCCUAUUUUUGGCACACGGAGGCCCCUCGCAAAGUCUCGCGCCAUUCUGAGUCCGGCGGACGAACCUGGCCAGCCCCACCCCCCAAGGCUAAAGCCCACCCGUUUUUGUGGCCUUUUUCCGCUGGACGAACUUCGCUUCCCGGCCUUUGGUCGCUUAUUUUUGGGUGCGGCUGUGUCCGCGGCCUAUUUUUGGCACACGGAGGCCCCUCGUAAAGUCUCGCGCCAUUCCGAGUCCGGCGGACGAACUUGGCCAGCCCCACCCCCAAAGGCUAUAGACCACCCGUUUUUGUGGCCUUUUUCCGCUGGGGAGUUUUGGCGCCCCGGCCUUCGGUCGCUUAUUUUUAGGCGCGGCUGUGUCCGCGGCAUAUUUUUGGCACAUGGAGGCCCGUCGCAAAGUAUCGCGCCAUUCCGAGUCCGGCGGACGAUCUUGGCCAGCCCCACCCCCCAAGGCUACAGCCCACCCGUUUUUGUGGCUUUUUUCCGUUGGACGAACUUGGCGCCCCGGCCUUCGGUCGUUUAUUUUUGGGCACGGCUGUGCCCGCGGCCUAUUUUUGGCACACAGAGUCCCCUACCAAAGUCUCACGCCAUUCCGAGUCCGGCGGACGAACUUGGCCAGCCCCACCCCCCAAGGAUAUAGCCCACCCGUUUUUUUGGCCUUUUUCCGCUGGGGGGUUUUGACUUCCCGGCCUUCGGUCGCUUAUUUUUGGGCGCGGCUGUGCCCGCGCCUUAUUUUAGGUACACGGAGGCCCCUCGUAAAGUCUCGCGAUAUUCUGAGUCCGACGGAUGAACAUGGCCAGCCCCACCCCCUAAGGCUAUAGCCGACCCGUUUUUGCCGCCUUUUUCCGUUGGACGAACUAGGCGCCCCGGCCUUUGGGCAGUUAUUUUUGGGCGCGGCUUUGCCCGCGGCCUAUUUUUGGCACACGGAAGCCCCUCGCAAAGUUUUGCGGCAUUCCAAGUCCGGCGGACGAAGUUGGCUAGCCCCACCCCCCAAGGCUAUAGCCCACCCGCUUUUGUGGACUUUUUCCGCUGGACGAACUUGGCGCCCCGGGCUUCGGGCGGUUAUUUUUGGGUGUGGCUUUGCCCGCAGCCUAUUUUUGGCACACGGAGGCCCCUCGCAAAGUCUCGCGGCAUUCCGUGUCCGGCGGACGAAGUUGGCCAGCCCCACCCCCCAAGGCUAUAGCCCACCCGUUUUUGUGGCCUUUUUCCGCUGGGAAAACUUGGCGCCCCGGCCUUCGGGCGGUUAUUUUUGGGCGAGGCUUUGCCCGCGGCCUAUUUUUGGCAUACAGAGGCCCCACGCAAAGUCUCGCGGCAUUCCGAGUCCGGCGGACGAAGUUGGCCAGCCCCACCCCCCAAGGCUAUAGCCCCCCCGCUUUUGUGGCCUUUUUCCGCUGGACGAACUUGGCGCCCCGGCCUUUGGGCGGUUAUUCUUGGGCGCGGCUUUGCCCAUGGCCUAUUUUUGGCACACGGAGGCCCCUCUCAAAGUCUCACGGCAUUCCGAGUCGGGCGGACGAACUGGGCCAGCCCCACCCCCCGAGGGUGUAGCCCACCCGUUUUUGUGGCCUUUUUCCGCUGGACGAACUUGGCGCCCCGGCCUUCGGGCUGUUAUUUUUGGGCGCGGCUUUGCCAGCGGCCUAUUUUUGGCACACGGAGGCCCCUCGCAAAGUCUGGCGGCAUUCCGAGUCCGGCGGACGAAGUGGGCCAGCCCCACCCCCCAAGGCUAUAGCCCAACCGUUUUUGUGGCCUUUUUCCACUGGUCGAACUUGGCGCCCCGGCCUUCGGGCUGUUAUUUUUCGGGAGGGCUUUGCCCGCGGCCUAUUUUUGGCACACGGAGGCCCCUCGUAAAGUCUCGCGGCAUUCCGAGUCCGGCGGACGAAGUUGGCCAGCCCCACCCCCCAAGGCUAUAGCCCACCCGUUUUUGUGGCCUUUUUCCGCUGGACGAACUUGGCGCCCCGGCCUUCGGGCUGUUAUUUUUAGGCGUGUCUUUGCCCGCGGCCUAUUUUUGGCACACGGAGGCCCCUCGCAAAGUCUCGCGGCAUUCCGAGUCCGGCGGACGAAGUGGACCAGCCCCACCCCCCAAGGCUAUGGCCCACCCGUUUUUGUGGCCUUUUUCCGCUGGAUGAACUUGGCGCCCCGGGCUUCGGGUGGUUAUUUUUGGGCGUGGCUUUGUCCGCAGCCUAUUUUUGGCACACGGAGGCCCCUCGCAAAGUCUCGCGGCAUUCCGAGUCCGGCGGACGAAGUUGGCCAGCCCCACCCCCCAAGGCUAUAGCCCACCCGUUUUUGUGGCCUUUUUCCGCUGGACGAACUUGGCGCCCCGGCCUUCGGGCGGUUAUUUUUGGGCACGGCUUAGCCCGCGGCCUAUUUUUGGCACAUGGAGGCCCCUCGCAAUGUCUCGCGGCAUUCCGAGUCCGGCGGACGAACUUGGCGCCCCGUCCUUCGGGCGGUUAUUUUUUGGCGCGGCUUUGUCCGCGGCCUAUUUUUGGCACAUGGAGGCCCCUCGCAAAGUCUCGUGGCAUUCCGAGUCCGGUGGAUGAAGUUGGCCAGCCCCACCCCCCAAGGCUAUAGCCCACCCGUUUUUGUGGCCUUUUUCCGCUGGUCGAACUUGGCGCCCCGGCCUUCGGGCGGUUAUUUUUGGGCGCGGCUGUGCCCGCGGCCUAUUUUUGGCACACGGAAGUGCGUCGCAAUGUCUCGCGCCAUUCCGAGUUCGGCGGACGAAGUUGGCCAGCCCCACCCCCCAAGGCUAUAGCCCACCCGUUUUUGUGGCCUUUUUCCGCUGGACGAACUUGGCGCCCCGGCCUUCGGGCGGUUAUUUUUGGACGCCUCUGUGCCCGCGGCCUCUUUUUGGCAAACGGAGGUGCCUCGCAAAGUCUCGCGCCAUUCCAAGUCCGGCGGACGAAGUUGGCCAGCCCCACCCCCCAAGGCUAUAGCCCACCCAGUUUUGUGGCCUUUUUCCGCUGGACGAAUUUGGCGCCCCGGCCAUCAGGCGGUUAUUUUUGGGCGCGGCUGUGCCCGCGGCCUAUUUUUGGCACACGGAGGUGCGUCGCAAAGUCUCGCGCCAUUCCGAGUUCGGCGGACGAAGUUGGCCAGCCCCACCCCCCAAGGCUAUAGCCCACCCGUUUUUGUGGCCUUUUUCCGCAGGACGAACUUGGCGCCCCGGCCUUCGGGUGGUUAUUUUUUGGCGCCUCUGUGCCCGCGGCCUAUUUAUGGCAAACGGAGGUGCCUCGCAAAGUCUCGCGACAUUCCGAGUCCGGCGGACGAAGUUGGCCAGCCCCACCCCCCAAGGUUAUAGCCCACCCGAUUUUGUGGCCUUUUUCCGCUGGACGAAUUUGGCGCCCCGGCCAUCAGGCGGUUAUUUUUGGGCGCGGCUGUGCCCACGGCCUAUUUUUGGCACACGGAGUCGCCUCGCAUAGUCUCGCGACAUUCCGAGUCCGGCGGAUGAAGUGGGCCAGCCCUACCCCCCAAGGCUAUAGCCCACACGUUUUUGUGGCCUUUUUCCGCUGGACAAACUCGGUGCCCCGGCCUUCGGGUGGUUAGUUUUGGGCGCGGCUGUGCCCGCGACCUAUUUUUGGUACACGGAGGCGCCUCACAAUGUCUCGCGCCAGUCCGAGUCUGGCGGACGAAGUAGGCCGGGCCCACCCCCCAAGGCUAUAGCCCACCCGUUUUUGUGGCAUUUUUCCGCUGGACGAACUUGGCGCCCCCGCCUUCGGGCGGUUAUUUUUGGUCGCGGCUGUGCCCGCGGCCUAUUUUUGGCACACGGAGGCACCUCGCAAAGUCUCGCACCAUUCCGAGUCCGGCGGACGAAGUUGGCCAGCCCCACCCCCCAAGGCUAUUGCCCACCCGUUUUUGUGGCCUUUUUCCGCUGGACGAACUUGGCGCCCCGGCUUUCGGGCAGUUAUUUUUGGCUACGGCUGUGCCCGAGGCCUAUUUUUGGCACACGGAGGUGCCUAACAAAGACUCGCGCCAUACCGAGUCCGGUAGACGAAGUUGGCCAGCCCCACCCGCCAAGGCUAUAGCCCACCCGUUUUUGUGGGCUUUUUCCGCUGGACCAACUUGGCGCCCCGGCCUUCGGGCGGUUAUUUUUGGGCGCGGCUGUUCCCGCGGCCACUUUUUGUCACACCGAGGUGCCUUGCAUAGUCUCGUACCAUUCCUAGUCCGGCGGAGGAUGUCGGCCAGCCCCACCCCCCAAGGCUAGAGCCCACCCGUUUUGGUGGCCUUUUUCCGCUGGACGAACUUGGCUAACCGGCCUUCGGGCGGUUAUUUUUGGGCGCGGCUUUGUCCGCGGCCUAUUUUUGGCACACGCAGGCCCCUCGCAAAGUCUCGUGGCAUUCUGAGUCCGGCGGACGAAGUUGGCCAGCCCCACCCCCCAAGGCUAUAGCCCACCCGUUUUUGUGGCCUUUUUCCGCUGGACUAACUUGGCGCCCCGGCCUUCGGGUGGUUAUUUUUGGGCACGGCUUUGCCCGCGGCCUAUUUUUGGCACAUGGAGGCCCCUCGCAAAGUCUCACGGCAUUCCGAGUCCGGCGGACGAACUUAGCGCCCCGGCCUUCGGGCGGUUAUUUUUGGGCGUGGCUUUGCCCGCGGCCUAUUUUUGGCACACGGACGCCCCUCGCAAAGACUCGCAGCAUUCCGUGUCCGGCGGAUGAAGUUGGCCAGCCCCACCCCCCAAGGCUAUAGCCCACCCGUUUUUGUGGCCUUUUUCCGCUGGACUAACUUGGCGCCCCGGCCUUCGGGUUGUUAUGUUUGGGCGCGGCUUUGCCCGCGGCCUAUUUUUGGCACACGGAGGCCCCUCGCAAAGGCUCGCGGCAUUCCGUGUCCGGCGGAUGAAGUUGGCCAGCCCCACCCCCCAAGGCUAUAGCCCACCCGUUUUUGUGGCCUUUUUCCGCUGUACGAACUUGGCGCCCCGGCCUUCAGGCGGUUAUUUGUGGGCACGGCUGUUCCCGCGGCCACUUUUUGUCACACCGAGGUGCCUUGCAUAGUCUCGCACCAUUCCGAGUCCGGCGGAGGAUGUCGGCCAGCCCCACCCCCCAAGGCUAGAGCCCACCCGUUUUGGUGGCCUUUUUCCGCUGGACGAACUUGGCUAACCGGCCUUCGGGCGGUUGUUUUUGGGCACAGCUGUCCCCGCGGCCACUUUUGGCACACGGAGGUGCCUCGCAAAGUCUCGCGCCAUUCCGAGUCCGGCGGACGAAGUUGGCCAGCCCCACCCCCCAAGGCUAUUGCCCACCCGUUUUUGUGGCAUUUUUCCGCUGGACGAACUUGGCGCCCCGGCCUUCGGGCGGUUCUUUUUGGGUACGGCUGUGCCCGCGGCCUAUUUUUGGCACACGGAGGCUCCUCGCAAAGUCUCGCGGCAUUCCGUGUCCGGCGGACGAACUUAGCGCCCCGGCCUUCGGGCGGUUAUUUUUGGGCGUGGCUUUGCCCGCGGCCUAUUUUUGGCACACGAAGGCCCCUCGCAAAGGCUCGCGGCAUUCCGUGUCCAGCGGAUGAAGUUGGCCAGCCCCACCCCCCAAGGCUAUAGCCCACCCGUUUUUGUGGCCUUUUUCCGCUGGACGAACUUGGCGCCCCGGCCUUCGGGUGGUUAUUUGUGGGCACGGCUUUGCCCGCGGCGUAUUUUUGGCACAAGGAGGCCCCUCGCAAAGUCUCGCAGCAUUCCGAGUCCGGCGGACGAACUUGGCGCACCGGCCUUCGGGCGGCUAUUUUUGGGCGCGGCUUUGUCCGCGGCCUAUUUUUGGCACACGGAGGCCCCUCGCAAAGUCUCGCGGCAUUCCGUGUCCGGCGGACGAACUUAGCGCCCCGGCCUUCGGGCGGUUAUUUUUGGGCGUGGCUUUGCCCGCGGCCUAUUUUUGGCACACGGAGGCCCCUCGCAAAGGCUCGCGGCAUUCCGUGUCCGGCGGAUGAAGUUGGCCAGCCCCACCCCCCAAGGCUAUAGCCCACCCGUUUUUGUGGCCUUUUUCCGCUGGCUAACUUGGCGCCCCGGCCUUCGGGUUGUUAUUUUUGGGCGCGGCUUUGCCCGCGGCCUAUUUUUGGCACACGGAGGCCCCUCGCAAAGUCUCGUGGCAUUCUGAGUCCGGCGGACGAAGUUGGCCAGCCCCACCCACCAAGGCUAUAGCCCACCCGUUUUUGUGGCCUUUUUCCGCUGGACUAACUUGGUGCCCCGGCCUUUGGGCGGUUAUUUUUGGGCGCGGCUUUGUCCGCGGCCUAUUUUUGGCACACGCAGGCCCCUCGCAAAGUCUCGUGGCAUUCUGAGUCCGGCGGACGAAGUUGGCCAGCCCCACCCCCCAAGGCUAUAGCCCACCCGUUUUUGUGGCCUUUUUCCGCUGGACUAACUUGGCGCCCCGGCCUUCGGGUGGUUAUUUUUGGGCACGGCUUUGCCCGCGGCCUAUUUUUGGCACAUGGAGGCCCCUCGCAAAGUCUCACGGCAUUCCGAGUCCGGCGGACGAACUUAGCGCCCCGGCCUUCGGGCGGUUAUUUUUGGGCGUGGCUUUGCCCGCGGCCUAUUUUUGGCACACGGACGCCCCUCGCAAAGACUCGCAGCAUUCCGUGUCCGGCGGAUGAAGUUGGCCAGCCCCACCCCCCAAGGCUAUAGCCCACCCGUUUUUGUGGCCUUUUUCCGCUGGACUAACUUGGCGCCCCGGCCUUCGGGUUGUUAUUUUUGGGCGCGGCUUUGCCCGCGGCCUAUUUUUGGCACACGGAAGCCCCUCGCAAAGUUUCGCGGCAUUCCAAGUCCGGCGGAAGAAGUUGGCUAGCCCCACCCCCCAAGGCUAUAGCCCAUCCGCUUUUGUGGCCUUUUUCCGCUGGACGAACUUGGCGCCCUGGGCUUCGGGCGGUUAUUUUUGGGUGUGGCUUUGCCCGCAGCCUAUUUUUGGCACACGGACGCCCCUCGCAAAGUCUCGCGGCAUUCUGAGUCCGGCGGACGAAGUUGGCCAGCCCCACCCCCCAAGGCUAUAGCCCACCCGUUUUUGUGGCCUUUUUCCGCUGGACGAACUUGGCGCCCCGGCCUUCGGGCGGUUAUUUUUGGGAACGGCUUUGCCCGCGGCCUAUUUUUGGCACAUGGAGGCCCCUCGCAAAGUCUCGCGGCAUUCCGAGUCCGGCGGACGAACUUGGCUGUCCGGCCUUCGGGCGGUUAUUUUUGGGCACGGCUUUGCCCGCGGCCUAUUUUUGGCACACGGAGGCACCUCGCAAAGUCUCGCGGCAUUCUGUGUCCGGCGGAUGAAGUUGGCCAGCCCCACCCCCCAAGGCUAUAGCCCACCCGUUUUUGUGGCCUUUUUCCGCUGGACGAACUUGGCGCCCCGGCCUUCGGGCUGUUAUUUUUGGACGUGGCUUUGCCCGCAGCCUAUUUUUGGCACACGGAGGCCCCUCGCAAAGUCUCGCGGCAUUCCGAGUCCGGCGGACGAAGUUGGCCAGCCCCACCCCCCAAGGCUAUAGCGCACCCGUUUUUAUGGCCUUUUUCCGCUGGUCGAACUUGGCGCCCCGGCCUUCGGGCUGUUAUUUUUGGACGUGGCUUUGCCCGCGGCCUAUUUUUGGCACACGGAGGCCCCUCGCAAAGUCUCGCCGCACUCCAAGCCCGGCGGUCGAAGUUGGCCAGCCCCACCCCCCAAGGCUAUAGCCCACCCGUUUUUAUGGCCUUUUCCCGCUGGACGAACUUGGCGCCCCGGCCUUCGGGCGGUUAUUUUUGGUCGCGGCUUUGCCUGCGUCCUAUUUUUGGCACAUGGAGGCCCCUCGCAAAGUCUCACGGAAUUCCGAGUCCGGCGGACGAAGUGGGCCAGCCCCACCCCCCAAGGCUAUAGCCCACCCGCUUUUGUGGCCUUUUUUCGCUGGACGAACUUGGCGCCCCGGCCUUCGUGCGGUUAUUUUUGGGCGCGGCUUUGUCCGCGGCCUAUUUUUGGAGCACGGAGGCCCCUCGCAAAGUCUUGCGGCAUUCCUAGUCCGGCGGACGAAGUUGGCCAGCCCCACCCCCCAAGGCUAUAGCCCACCCGUUUUUGUGGCCUUUUUCCACUGGACGAACUUGGCGCCCCGGCCUUCGGGCGGUUAUUUUUGGGCAUGGCUUUGCCCGCGGCCUAUUUUUGGCACACGGAGGCCCCUCGCAAAGUCUCGCGGCAUUCCGAGUCCGGCAGACGAAGUUGGCCAGUCCCACCCUCCAAGGCUAUAGCCCAUCCGUUUUUGUUGCCUUUUUCCGCAGGACGAACUUGGCGCCCCGGCCUUCGGUGGUUUAUUUUUGGGCGCAUCUUUGCCCAUGGCCUAUCUUUGGCACACGGAGGCCCCUCGCAAAGUCUCGCCGCACUCCAAGCCCGGCGGUCGAAGUUGGCCAGCCCCACCCCCCAAGGCUAUAGCCCACCCGUUUUUAUGGCCUUUUCCCGCUGGACGAACUUGGCGCCCCGGCCUUCGGGCGGUUAUUUUUGGUCGCGGCUUUGCCUGCGUCCUAUUUUUGGCACAUGGAGGCCCCUCGCAAAGUCUCACGGAAUUCCGAGUCCGGCGGACGAAGUGGGCCAGCCCCACCCCCCAAGGCUAUAGCCCACCCGCUUUUGUGGCCUUUUUUCGCUGGACGAACUUGGCGCCCCGGCCUUCGUGCGGUUAUUCUUGGGCGCGGCUUUGUCCGCGGCCUAUUUUUGGAGCACGGAGGCCCCUCGCAAAGUCUUGCGGCAUUCCUAGUCCGGCGGACGAAGUUGGCCAGCCCCACCCCCGAAGGCUAUAGCCCACCCGUUUUUCUGGAUUUUUUCCGCUGGACGAACUUGGCGCCCCGGCCGUCGGGCGGUUAUUUUUGGGCGCGGCUUUGUCCACGGCCUAUUUUUGGCACACGGAGGCCCCUCGCAAAGUCUCGCGGCACUCCAAGUCCGGCGGACGAAGUUGGCCAGCCCCACCCCCCAAGGCUAUAGCCCACCCGUUUUGUGGCCUUUUUCCGCUGGACUAACUUGGCGCCCCGGCCUUUGGGCAGUUAUUU
RNAcentral lists this long non-coding RNA (13451 nucleotides) under Citrus x clementina. RNAcentral's name for it is "Citrus clementina (C. clementina) long non-coding RNA (CCLE_LNC006282)". Lineage: Eukaryota; Viridiplantae; Streptophyta; Magnoliopsida; Sapindales; Rutaceae. The record is from RNAcentral.